This 349-nucleotide unclassified non-coding RNA is filed under the name uncultured fungus. RNAcentral describes it as "sequence contains ITS1". The stretch from base 1 to 103 matches the Rfam family "5.8S ribosomal RNA", at positions 50 to 154 of the family's 154-position model. The record is from RNAcentral. Lineage: Eukaryota; Fungi.
GAAAUGCGAUACGUCAUGCGAAUUGCAAGAUCCAGUGAGUCAUCAAAAUUUUGAACGCAACUUGCACUUCCGAGUAAUCGGGAGUAUGUCUGUUGGAGUGUCUGUUCAUCCCCACGAGGCGUCUCUUCGGAGGCACCUCUGGUCGGUCUAGUCUCUCGCCAGCUCGAGAGGCCAGUGCCCGGACGAAAGACACCCAGUCGUCGGCCUCAUCUGCUCGAAGAUGGAACGACACGACGUCCAGUUCUUCGGAACUACUUCGUGUCACCAGUUCCGGCUUCACACCCGGCAGUUGCUGCAGUCGACCAUCCGAUCGGACCUCCAAUCAGGCAAGAAUACCCGCUGAAUUUAA